Non-coding RNA from Acanthosepion pharaonis, 109 nucleotides. Lineage: Eukaryota; Metazoa; Mollusca; Cephalopoda; Sepiida; Sepiidae. The record is from the annotation of a GenBank genome assembly.
GGUUAUAUCCCGUUGAAACAACGGUUGCCGUAUGAUCACCGAAGUUAAGCAACGUCGAUCCUGGUCAGUAUCUAGAUGGGUGACCGCUUGGGAAUACCAGUUGUUGGAA